Molecule: ribosomal RNA, 450 nt
Filed under: uncultured bacterium
Lineage: Bacteria
Description: partial 16S ribosomal RNA
Rfam family: Bacterial small subunit ribosomal RNA
Source: RNAcentral
GUGGGGAAUCUUCCGCAAUGGACGAAAGUCUGACGGAGCAACGCCGCGUGAGUGAUGAAGGUCUUCGGAUUGUAAAGCUCUGUUAAUCGGGACGAAAGAGCCUAGUGUGAAUAAUGCUAGGAAGUGACGGUACCGGAAUAGAAAGCCACGGCUAACUACGUGCCAGCAGCCGCGGUAAUACGUAGGUGGCAAGCGUUGUCCGGAAUUAUUGGGCGUAAAGCGCGCGCAGGCGGAUCUGCCAGUCUGUCUUAAAAGUUCGGGGCUUAACCCCGUGAUGGGAUGGAAACUACAGAUCUAGAGUAUCGGAGACGAAAGUGGAAUUCCUAGUGUAGCGGUGAAAUGCGUAGAUAUUAGGAAGAACACCAGUGGCGAAGGCGACUUUCUGGACGAAAACUGACGCUGAGGCGCGAAAGCCAGGGGAGCGAACGGGAUUAGAAACCCUAGUAGUCC